CCCUAUGGGGUGCAGCAGGCAGAAAGGGUACGGUCGGGUUCUUCGAUACCUCUGUCCCGAACAACCGGUUCUACACAUACCAGAAUUUCGUUUUCCCCGCCGAUUCGUCGAUCGACUACCAUGCCAUGGCGGCGGACAGCGGCGCGACCCUCACGAUCGGCGGCGGCUCCGUCGUCAACCUGGCGGACAGCCUCACGGUCACGGGAGAUUCCACGAUCGUCCUGGAGGGCAAGAACAUAUCCUCUGAGAUAGACGGCACGUGGCAGGGUACGGGUGUGACGAUCAACACCGUCGACCUUGCAGUCGAGGCAGGAAGCACGAUCACGGCGGAUGGGAAAGGGUAUGCAGGCGGGGGGGC
This 358-nucleotide ribosomal RNA is filed under the name uncultured prokaryote. RNAcentral's name for it is "partial 16S ribosomal RNA". The record is from RNAcentral.